CUCGUAGGUGGCCAACUAAGUCAGACGUGAAAUCCCUCGGCUUAACCGGGGAACUGCGUCUGAUACUGGAUGGCUUGAGGUUGGGAGAGGGAUGCGGAAUUCCAGGUGUAGCGGUGAAAUGCGUAGAUAUCUGGAGGAACACCGGUGGCGAAGGCGGCAUCCCGGACCAAUUCUGACGCUGAGGAGCGAAAGCCAGGGGGAGCAAACG
RNAcentral lists this ribosomal RNA (208 nucleotides) under uncultured bacterium. Its description in RNAcentral is "partial 16S ribosomal RNA". It matches the Rfam family "Bacterial small subunit ribosomal RNA", at positions 568 to 774 of the family's 1533-position model. The record is from RNAcentral.